Molecule: long non-coding RNA, 1905 nt
Filed under: Theobroma cacao (cacao)
Lineage: Eukaryota; Viridiplantae; Streptophyta; Magnoliopsida; Malvales; Malvaceae
Description: long non-coding RNA (TCAC_LNC001801)
Source: RNAcentral
GGCCGGCCAAAGCAUGAAGUGAAGAGGAAAGGAAAGAACACAAACCCUAGGUGAGAAAAUUGAAGAAAAAGUGUGGGAUUUCAAGGGAUUAAGCUAAUAAAGGUAAAAUUUUGUGAUUUUAUCUUGUGAUUUACACUACCCAUGCUUUCUUUUUCAUUUUUCAUGCUUAGAACUCAAGUUUUCAUGAUGAACCCAUGCUGGCCGAAUUUGAGAGGAGAGGUUUUGAACAUUGAUUUUGCUAGAUUUCAAGCUAAUUAAGUGUUUUUGGUUGUUUGGUAAUGGAAAGUAUGAAAAUCUAGCAAGGAAUCACUUUGUUCUUCACAAACCCACAAGAGGCCGAAUUUUCUAGAGAUGAUAUUAAGGUUGAAAUUGAUGAUAUUUCAUGAUAUUUUGGUGGUAUUUAAUGAUUGGUGAGGUUAGAAAUUUAAUGGGAAAUUUUGGCAUGAAAAUCUGAAUUUUUACCUAAUGUAUAUACAUGUGCGAUUUAUGGUUCGAACUGAUAAAUUGAAUCAUAUUCACAGUCAUUGAGGUAUUUUAAGUAUAAUUGAAGUGUAAAAAGUGAAAGAAAUUGAUUUGGAGUUAAAUUGGAGGUUUUAGCCAAUUACACCGAGAAUAGUGCAAAUUAGGUCGAAUACCGUAUUUAAACAGCUAUUCGGACAUUUUGCAUCACAUUUUGUGCAUUCAUAUAGAUUUAUAGAGCCUGAAAUAGUUUAUGAUAAAUUGAUACAAUUUAUUGAAAUUCGUGUCAUGUAUGAUGUAUAGGUGGUGAACCCUUUAACAAAGGUAAAGAGAUUGUGCUCGAAGAUCGAGAAUAGGAGUAUAUCAAACUCCUAAUAUUGUGAGUAACCUUAUUAUCAUCUUAAUUAUCUAAAAUAGUUUUUAUUCGUUUUUGUGAUUUUAUGAAAAAUGAGUUUAAAUGGCAAAUCCUUAUGUUUAUAAGCAAAAUGUGAUUAAAUGGGAUGAUCUUGUAAAAUUAUCUUGAAAUUGAAUAAUGGCUUUUCAAAUAGAGCAAUUGGAGACCAUUUGAUGUAUUGUGAAUUUAUGGUUCUAAUUGAUUGGCUUAUGACAAUAUUGGUAUGAAUGGCUGAAUUGGUAUUUGUGUUGAAAUGUAUAAAUUGUUGUUUUCCUUUAUAGACUGGAUAAUGAUAAAAUUGCCAUGUCAUGCUAUUACAAAUUUUAUUGUAUGGUGGGUUUAGCUUGCUGCAGUGGGUUGGUUAUGUGGACUAGCCUAUUAGAGGGGCACAGAACCUGGUCAUAUUCUUAUCUCGGUUGGAGAGGCGAGUAGGGUAACUCCCCAGGUAUAACUUUUAGAGUUCACUUCACGCCAAACCACCACGUGAGGGCGAACUCAGCCAACGUCAAGGAACUACUAUAUUUUCAAAAUAAAAACAUGAUUUAUGAGUACAUAACUUUUUAAUAGCCUUGGCGGACUCAGUUUGGGAUAGCCCGCGGCCAAGGUAUCCCUGAUAACUGGGUAUGAGAAUGAUUUUGGCAUGAGCCAAAGUUUUAAGAAAUUCAUAAGCCAUGUUGAUUACUCGAUUUAUAUGAAUUGAUUUUAUUUGGUUGAAACAAGUUGAGAGGUGAUGAAUUUUCGUAUGUUAAACUAUUUUAUCUGUCUCCAUUUACUCGGCUUUAGAUAUUUUAGAUAGUAUUUGUUUACUCACUGGGAUUAUAUAAUCUCACCACCCUCUUUUUCACCAAUUUCAGGUUCAUAAUAGAUUGUAGAUAACUGAUAUCAUCGAGGACUACAGUUGGACUUGCCACAUCCAAAAAUUUUAGGUUCAUUUCUUUUAAUACUUUUGGUUGUUCGUGGGCUCACUUGUUACAGUAAAUUAAAUUAAACACUCUAGCUGACUGUAUUACAAUAUAUAUUAAUUUAUUUUGCUUUUACGCUGUAAAAAUUAU